Molecule: long non-coding RNA, 442 nt
Organism: Carassius carassius (crucian carp)
Lineage: Eukaryota; Metazoa; Chordata; Actinopteri; Cypriniformes; Cyprinidae
Exons: 3
Source: RefSeq, a predicted model, not a curated record
ACUUCUGGUACUGAAAUUUAUUUCUGUUUUAGACCGUCACACUCCCAAGCUACUGACGCUAUUUCGUGCCAAAGAUGGAGCACUUGGAAGAAGACUGGAGAUCAUAAUGGAACUGCUGCAGUUGGUGAAUUCCUCCCCAGCACUCUUCGAUUGAGAGGACCAGAGAAGUUGUUCUUCGGUAUCUUAUAGAAUACCUUGGAGAACAAGGGGGACAUCUUAUCAAAGAAUUCAACGACACUGAGAACUUGGAGGAACUUGAACAGCUCAUAAUGGCCAUUACUGUGACCCCAAAGCCUGGAGCUUCUACAAGCAACAGCCCAAAGAUCAUUGGGAUCAUCAUAGAGGGCGUGGAAGUCAUCACAGGACUUGGAGAUAUUGCAAGGGCUUGCUCUGUCCUCCUUGGCUUGACCUAUGCGCUGAAUCUAGAUUAUCCCAGACAGCC